Mobula hypostoma (lesser devil ray) is the source of this 529-nucleotide long non-coding RNA. RefSeq lists it as uncharacterized. The transcript has 3 exons. NCBI's taxonomy places the organism in Eukaryota, Metazoa, Chordata, Chondrichthyes, Myliobatiformes, Myliobatidae. The record is from RefSeq and is a predicted model, not a curated record.
GAAGGAUGCAGAAUCCUUGACUCUAAAGCCUUGCUGACUUUAACGUUGUUUGUGCCACAAGCAAGAAGGAUCAGUUAAAAGAUCUUGGAUUGGAGAAAGUAUCAUAAACAUCUUGAAAGAACUUGCAUCAAUAUAGACAGCAGAUUAUUAAGCAGCUGAGGCUUCAAAAUGUUAAUAAUUAUUUGGAAGUUUUCUCCAAGAGUCCACAAUACAUUGUGAGCCAGAGGGCUUGUUCCUGUGCUGUACUGCUCUGCGUAAUGUCUGAAAAUUUCUGCAACAUGGAAAAGCACCAAGAAUGCAAAAGGUCUCAUGAUAUGGGUGGUCCCGGUUGUUUAGCGGCUGUCUGGCUGAAGAAAAAGGAUGCCGCCUGACCUGCCGAGCUUGUCCAGCAUUUUGUACGUCUGGCUCGAGACACAGUCCUUCACUGCCAUCAUUUCUGCCCAUUCACACAUAACUACAGACAGGACAUGAUUUGCAAAUUUCUGUUUUUAUUUCUACCUACAAAACUUGUCACUGACAAACAUUGUAA